This 1407-nucleotide long non-coding RNA is filed under the name Ananas comosus (pineapple). RNAcentral's name for it is "long non-coding RNA (ACOM_LNC021157)". Lineage: Eukaryota; Viridiplantae; Streptophyta; Magnoliopsida; Poales; Bromeliaceae. The record is from RNAcentral.
GGGAAUGCUUAAAUAACAUACAUGAUCGAUACGAUGCACACAAGUGCACUAUAACUAAAAGCAAGAACUACAAGUGGUAUACAAGUGUAUAAAGAGAGAUAGUCUAACUAUUACAACCAUUCAACAUUUACAUCAUUUGAAUAUAUUAUAUUUUCGUCUUCCAAAAUAUAAAUAUAUGUUUUCCUCAAAAUACAAGUAGCUCUCCAAUAACUAUCCAAAACAUCAUCUAGUACACGAGGGUACUCUAAUGCAUAAAGAAAAAGCUACUAACUAGGCUCACUUAGGGCGCUACGCCCUUGCCGCGGUCCUCGCUCGACUCGCCUCUGUAUGUACCUGUACUCCAAAACCACAUGGGGUAAGAACUAUAUAAAUAUAGUUCCCAGUGGGUUCGGCCGCCGACGCCGCCAGUUUUCCCACUAGGUCUAAGCUGGCACAGAUAGAGAGAUAGAUAGAUAUAUAGAUAAGAGUCAGCAACUACUAUAUCAUGCCAUCAAUGAUAAUAAUGCAUGCAACAACUACUAUCAUACUAGUAUCAUGUCAUGAGUAUAUAAAGGUGCAUAGCAAUGUAAUCUACAACAUACACUAUGUCUACUCAAGAUAAUAAUGCAAGUCUACUAUGCAUUUCAUGUUUAUUACCCAAUCUACUUGGUUAACCCGUAGGUUAAACCCUCAACUCACUCUCAAUCUCAUAGGUGAGGAGAAGCUGCACUCGCACACCGAGACCGUCUGCGGGACAACUACGUCUGCCCCUAGUGAAGUACUCCGAAGACUCGUGCCUCGGUGGAGCUACCACGCAAAAACAGAUUAGUGAGUAUGAUCCAAUCCUCACAAGAGGAUACCCUGUCUACUAGGGUCAAUGUGCCUCUGCUGCACAAUAUACAAUGCAUCCUAGAUGCUGGGAUCUCUACUGUCCCGAGAACCAUGUCAUGUUUACUACACUAGACUCGAUGCCACUCGUUCGAUCAUUGUAGUAAGUUUUCUACUAGUUGACAUGCCACUCGUUCAAGUUUAGUGUUUCUACUACACUAGUUAAAUGCCCCUCUACUAGGCUAUGUCCAAGUUCAUCACUUUUGCCACUAUAGGAUUCUUUGUAUCAAGACCCAAUCCUCAUGCCUCCCUAGUCCAAGUGUUAAGUCCAUACCAUUACACUACUAAGUAAGCAUGCAAGGAAUGAAAAUAUACUUCUACUAAUCCUAUAAUGCACAAUCAACAUAUGAUGAAUAAAAUUAACUUAGGCAUAAAAAGAAACCCGGUUGCUUCGGGAUGACACUCCCCACCUCUUGAGGGUAUGGAGGCUCUAGAAAUGCGCUUCGGCGUCCUUUACGACGAAGCCUCGGUCUUCUUGGUCCAAAUGAUGCUCAAUCAGCCUUAUUUUGCCGAUAGCCCUUGACCCGCUCAACGAAUUGA